This 506-nucleotide ribosomal RNA is filed under the name uncultured bacterium. RNAcentral's name for it is "partial 16S ribosomal RNA". It matches the Rfam family "Bacterial small subunit ribosomal RNA", at positions 29 to 523 of the family's 1533-position model. The record is from RNAcentral.
AUUGAACGCUGGCGGCAGGCCUAACACAUGCAAGUCGAACGGCAGCACAGAAGAGCUUGCUCUUUGGGUGGCGAGUGGCGGACGGGUGAGUAAUGUCUGGGAAACUGCCCGAUGGAGGGGGAUAACUACUGGAAACGGUAGCUAAUACCGCAUAACGUCGCGAGACCAAAGUGGGGGACCUUCGGGCCUCACACCAUCGGAUGUGACCAGAUGGGAUUAGGUAGUAGGUGGGGUAAUGGCUCACCUAGGCGACGAUCCCUAGCUGGUCUGAGAGGAUGACCAGCCACACUGGGACUGAGACACGGUCCAGACUCCUACGGGAGGCAGCAGUGGGGAAUAUUGCACAAUGGGCGCAAGCCUGAUGCAGCCAUGCCGCGUGUAUGAAGAAGGCCUUCGGGUUGUAAAGUACUUUCAGCGGGGAGGAAGGCGGUGAGGUUAAUAACCUCGCCGAUUGACGUUACCCGCAGAAGAAGCACCGGCUAACUCCGUGCCAGCAGCCGCCGUAA